GAUGAAGAACGUAGUGAAAUGCGAUACUUGGUGUGAAAUGCAGAAUCCCGUGAACCAUCGAGUCUUUGAACGCAAGUUGCGCCCGAAGCCAUUAGGCCGAGGGCACGCCUGCCUGGGCGUCACACGUCGUUGCCCCCCCAUCUACUCCUUCGGGAUUGCGGGGGGCGGAUGAUGGCCUCCCGUGCGCCUCGUCGCGCGGUUGGCAUAAAUGCCAAGUCCUCGGCGACGCACGCCACGACAAUCGGUGGUUGCGAAACCUCGGUUGCCCGUCGUGUGCGGUCGUCGCGCAUCGAGGGCUCGAAAAAAUUACCGGGCUCCGGCUCGGCUUUCAACGCGACCCCAGGUCAGGCGGGGUUACCCGCUGAAUUUAAGCAUAUCAAUAAGCGGAGGA
This 391-nucleotide unclassified non-coding RNA is filed under the name soil metagenome. RNAcentral's name for it is "partial contains 5.8S ribosomal RNA, internal transcribed spacer 2, and large subunit ribosomal RNA". The stretch from base 1 to 122 matches the Rfam family "5.8S ribosomal RNA", at positions 35 to 154 of the family's 154-position model. The record is from RNAcentral.